Non-coding RNA from Lactuca sativa (garden lettuce), 500 nucleotides. NCBI's taxonomy places the organism in Eukaryota, Viridiplantae, Streptophyta, Magnoliopsida, Asterales, Asteraceae. The record is from RefSeq and is a predicted model, not a curated record.
ACUAAGAACAUAAUUGAUGCUUGUACUAAACGUAAUGUGAAGAGGCUUAUCUAUACAAGUUCUCCUAGUGUGGUUUUUGAUGGGAUACAUGGAAUACAUAAUGGAGAAGAAUCAUUGUCAUACAAGUCCAGAUAAAGAUCAUCAAGCAAUAGAUAUCCUUUUAACAAAGAUCGAUAUAUAUGAGCUUUUUGCUUUCAAACAUUGUUGGGGAAGAAGGUUGAAACUUGCUCUUUGCAGAGAGCUUGAUGAGAGAAUGCAUGACCUAAAUCUUUUAUCAAAUUCUCACUUUUGGAGGUGGCCAUAAGAAAAGGAUCCACCAGGAACAGGAAAAACACAAACAAUUCUUGGGCUUCUUAGUGCCAUAUUACAUACCAACUGAGUAUCUAAGUCUCUUAGUAACUUUGUAAGACAUUGAUUACUUGAGGGUAUUUUUAGUAACAUUGUAAGAGAUUGAUUACUUGAGGGUACUUAUGGUAUAUAAUGUUAUAUUCUUUUGUUAA